This 251-nucleotide ribosomal RNA is filed under the name uncultured prokaryote. RNAcentral's name for it is "partial 16S rRNA". It matches the Rfam family "Bacterial small subunit ribosomal RNA", at positions 525 to 775 of the family's 1533-position model. The record is from RNAcentral.
ACGGAGGGUGCAAGCGUUAUCCGGAUUUAUUGGGUUUAAAGGGUCCGUAGGCGGGCCGAUAAGUCAGUGGUGAAAUCUCAUAGCUUAACUAUGAAACUGCCAUUGAUACUGUCGGUCUUGAGUAAAUUAGAGGUAGCUGGAAUAAGUAGUGUAGCGGUGAAAUGCAUAGAUAUUACUUAGAACACCAAUUGCGAAGGCAGGUUACCAUGAUUUAACUGACGCUGAGGGACGAAAGCGUGGGGAGCGAACAG